AUAGUAAAAGCAAAGAAAUUGCGUUUAGUUUCGACCUAAAAAUUUAGUAUAUUUACUUUACUAUU
RNAcentral lists this transfer RNA (65 nucleotides) under Caecilius quercus. RNAcentral's name for it is "tRNA-Arg". Lineage: Eukaryota; Metazoa; Arthropoda; Insecta; Psocodea; Caeciliusidae. The record is from RNAcentral.